AUUCCUCCACUCGACCGCUUUGCUGCGUGUCGGGCUGGGACGUUGGGGGUGUUUUGCAGGUCCCCUUUCGAGGUCUGCUCCCCUUGAAUGCAUUAGUGAGGUUCGGCGCUCGGCCUCGACGUGAUAAAGUCUAUCUACGUCGUGUCCGGUGCUUUGUUUGUCCUGGUCAGCCAGGGAAAACGGGACUUUGCUUCCAACCGUCUUCGGACAACCGUGCGCUUGCGCACACCUUCGA
RNAcentral lists this unclassified non-coding RNA (235 nucleotides) under uncultured Agaricomycetes. RNAcentral's name for it is "sequence contains ITS2". Lineage: Eukaryota; Fungi; Basidiomycota; Agaricomycetes. The record is from RNAcentral.